GACGAACGCUGGCGGCGUGCUUAACACAUGCAAGUCGAACGGGCCUUGUCCCCUUUUUUUUGGGGGUGGGGUUAGUGGCGAACGGGUGAGUAACACGUGAGUAACCUGCCCCUCACUUCUGGAUAACCGCUUGAAAGGGUGGCUAAUACGGGGUGUUCUGGCCUGCUCGCAUGGGUGGGUUUGGAAAGAUUCGACCGGUUUUGGUUGUUUUGGUGGGGGUUGGGCUCGCGGCCUAUCAGCUUGUUGGUGGGGUGAUGGCCUGCCAAGGCUUUGACGGGUAGCCGGCCUGAGAGGGUGGGCGGUCACACGGGGACUGAGACACGGCCCAGACUCCUACGGGAGGCAGCAGUGGGGAAUAUUGCACAAUGGGCGAAAGCCUGAUGCAGCGACGCCGCGUGAGGGAUGGAGGCCUUCGGGUUGUGAACCUCUUUCGCCAGUGAAGAAGGUCCUGCUCUUUGUGGUGGGGUUGACGGUAGCUGGGUUAAUGAAGCGCCGGCUAACUACGUG
RNAcentral lists this ribosomal RNA (507 nucleotides) under uncultured bacterium. Its description in RNAcentral is "partial 16S ribosomal RNA". It matches the Rfam family "Bacterial small subunit ribosomal RNA", at positions 28 to 507 of the family's 1533-position model. The record is from RNAcentral.